GGAAUCUUCGGCAAUGGGGGCAACCCUGACCGAGCAACGCCGCGUGAGUGAAGAAGGUUUUCGGAUCGUAAAGCUCUGUUGUAAGAGAAGAACGUGUGUGAGAGUGGAAAGUUCACACAGUGACGGUAACUUACCAGAAAGGGACGGCUAACUACGUGCCAGCAGCCGCGGUAAUACGGAAGGUCCGGGCGUUAUCCGGAUUUAUUGGGUUUAAAGGGAGCGCAGGCCGAUGGUUAAGCGUGACGUGAAAUGUAGCCGCUCAACGGCUGAACUGCGUCGCGAACUGGCUGUCUUGAGUGAGUUCGAUGUGGGCGGAAUUCGUGGUGUAGCGGUGAAAUGCUUAGAUAUCACGAAGAACUCCGAUUGCGAAGGCAGCCCACAAGGCCUUUACUGACGCUAAAGCUCGAAGGUGCGGGUAUCGAACA
This 425-nucleotide ribosomal RNA is filed under the name uncultured bacterium. RNAcentral describes it as "bacterial SSU rRNA". It matches the Rfam family "Bacterial small subunit ribosomal RNA", at positions 358 to 774 of the family's 1533-position model. The record is from RNAcentral.